GAAAGUAAAAGUUGGUGUUUGAAAAAACUGCAGCAAGAUGGCUAUUCGCGCCGGUUUUACGUCUGCUGUUCCGUUAUGAAUUACGAUUUCACUCCACGCGGGCACCGUGUUUUCGAACGCACCUCCGUUGACUUCGUGUGUGACGUUUCCUGAUGGGGGCGGAGCGUCCUCCAGCUUCCCAAUUCUAACCAACCCGAUCUCGAUAGCCGUCGCAUUCCGCUGAGUUGCUUCAGUGUGCCUCGGUAGUGCAUUCGGUGCGUUUUUUGGUGUGUGCUUGUGCACAUAGCCACUCACUAACGUACGUGCUUGCACGAGAAUCCAUUUCUCUGUCGUACGUAAUAAGGAACGUUGUACUUAUAAAAAUCAUCGACAAGAAGACAUUUUCCUCGCAAUGCCCUGGGCAUGUUUUUCCGACAUUCAGACAGAAUAGUGGCAUGAGUCGAUUAAUCUAUGGCAGAUCAACAAGAUCAGUUGUCAUCAGGGGGGUCUGUAGAGACGGCCAGUGCUUCAGCAGACACCUCUAAAGUUAGAGGGAAGAGCUCUAGCAGUGGUAGUAGUGGUUAUAGAAAACGACAAAGCACUGGUUCUAUUCCUAUUACAGUAGAAGAAAAAAGACGUAGACAAACUAUUGGUGAUCCACAAUCGUCUGAAGUUUUUGAUAAUACUUCUUGUAAACAUUCAAGCGAUUCAAUACAAAGCGAAUCAAGAAGUGAAUGUAAAAGUCAUGGCAGUGGCUUAGAAUCAUAUUUAGAUAAUAAUUGGAGAUCACAACAUAAGAUUCAACAAUCAAAUUAUAAUAUUAGUGGAAAUAGUACAAGACAACGUAGUACUGCAAGAACAAGUCUACCAGAGUUAAAUUUAACAGCUGUUGAUUGUGUUGCAUCAAGGACACGUUCUCGUACACCACAAAAUCCACAAGCCAUAUCACAGGGACAUAAUAGUUACAAUUUAUCACUAUCCAGUGGUUAUAAUAAUAAAGAGGACUUGUCAUAUAACAAUUUGGUACCAACAUCAACUACUACACCAGUUACUAGUCAUCCAUCUACAUCAAGAGGAAGAGGCCUGAGGAUGAGCGAAUGUCUGGAAGGAUUUGUGUCUGCUGUCAAAGCACUUUUUCCAAUAUCAACACAAACGUAUCAUCAAGAAGGGUCAAAAUCCCACGGUGGUGCAACCUGCGCAAGUAGCAGUGCGAGUAGUCAAGUUUUAAGUGUGAAGUCCAGCAUCAGAGUGGGUAACGCAGCCAGUAAUUCUGUGGAGAGUGGUGGGGGGGCAUUGGCACAUGACGGGGCAGGCACUAGUGGCAUCACUACAGCCACUGCCAAUCCACCUGUGUCUGCCGCCGCCACUGCCAACCCUACACACCCUCAUCCAACGCACAAACAUAUAUUACGUUCUCGCACAAAAUUAUCCAGUGACUAUAAAGAACUAUCAAGUAUUAACAAAACUUCAGGAAAGCAUCAUAAGAAAGAUACUACAGGAACUUGUUCAAGCUCUAGACAUCGUUCUUCAUCACGUGCAAGAAAAGCAGUGAUAGAAGGAAAUUCUGGAGGAAGUGUAAUGUCAGGUACUGAAUCUAUGACUAAUAGUACCACUCCAACAACUGUUUCAUCUACAGUUUCUAGCAAUCAAUUAGUAUCUACAACAGGAGAAGACGAAUUAGCAUCUACAGCUACAUCUGCCACUGCAAGUGGAGGACCAUCUGGAAUGUCUGGUACUACUGGAGAUAGUGAAAGCGAUGAUGGAGAAGUUGGAAGAUUGCAAGCAUUACUUGAAGCUAGAGGUUUACCUCCUCAUGUAUUUGGCGCAUUAGCACCACGAAUGCAACAUUUAUUAAAUAGAAGCAUGGGUGCAAGUUCUGCUGCUAAAGCACAACAGUUAUUGGCUGGUUUACAAGCUGUUGAUGAUGAGGGGGAACAAUUACAAGCUGUUAUAGGAAUGGGUGAAAUUCUUGUUAUGGGGAAUGAAGAUACAUUAGCUGGUUUUCCUGUGAAACAAGUUGUUGCAGCAUUAAUAAAUUUACUCGGAAUAGAACAUAAUUUUGUAAUAAUGACACACGCAUGUCGUGCUCUUACUUACAUGAUGGAAGCUUUACCUCGAUCAUCGACAGUAGUAGUUGAUGCUGUUCCAGUGUUCUUACAAAAAUUAGAAUCUAUUGAAUGUAUGGAUGUAGCAGAACAAUGUUUAACAGCAUUAGCUAUGCUUUCUCGGAGACAUAGUAAAACUAUUUUACAUGAAGGAGGAGUAUCAGCUUGUUUAAAAUUUGUUGAUUUUUUUAAUAUCACAGCACAACGGGCUGCAUUAACAAUUACAGCAAACUGUUGUCAAAAUCUUCAUCCUGAUGAUUUUCACUUAGUAGCUGACAGUUUACCUUUAUUGACGAGUAGACUGACAAAUCAAGAUAAGAAAAGUGUUGAAUGUGUUUGCCAAGCAUUUAGUCGUUUAGUUGAUAGUUUUCAACACGAUCCGGUAACUUUGCAUAAAAUUAUUAAUGCAGAACUUCUUCAGAAUUUACAACAAUUGCUUAUGAUUACCCCACCUGUUAAUAGCAUUAGUAAUUUCAUAACAGUGUUGCGAAUGCUCUCUGUGAUAUCAAAUCGCUGUCCUGAUUUGGCACAGCUGCUUUUACAACAAAAUAUAGCUUUUACACUAAGUUAUCUUUUAACUGGAUCAUUAGAAGUUAAAACAGAAGAUGUAGAAUUAGUACCGCGAUCUCCGCAAGAAUGGUUUGAAAUCACUUGUUUAAUUGAGGAACUUAUGCCUCCAUUACCAACAGAUGGCAUAUUUAGUGUAAAUAGUUUACUUGAAAGGACCAGUAAUCAACAAGAAAAUGUUCAUUGGGAAUGGCGUGAUGAAAGACAUUGCUGUCAUCCAUUUAGUACUAUUGAUUCUAGAAUCAUUGAGAUGGCAUUUCAAAAUGGUGAGGAUGAGAUCUGUCUUUCUUCUUUAGGUCGAACUUAUACAAUAGAUUUAACUGUGAUGAAACAAAUUAAUGAAGAUAUUGGAUUAGCAAGAAGCAUUUUUCGUAGAGUAAAUGCACAUCCUACAGAAGGAAAAAGUCCUACAUGUUCAUCUAAUAUGGAUGUUGUACCUCCAGUAAUUGAAACAAAUGAAUGGUUAGUAUCGUUUAUUCGAACUCUAUUCUCUGUGUUAUAUGAAGUCUACAGCAGUUCUGCUGGUCCUGCUGUAAAAUGUAAAUGUCUUCGAGCUCUUUUACGUAUGGUUUAUUAUGCCUCAACUGAUUUACUUAAGGAUGUUUUAAAAAAUCAAGUGGUGUCAUCACACAUAGCGGGUAUGUUGGCAUCCCAAGAUUUACGAAUUGUUAUUGGAGCUCUGCAAAUGGCAAGCAUAUUAAUGAAAAGAUUACCACAAGUAUUUGGGGUUCAUUUUCAUCGUGAGGGCGUUUUGCAUCAAAUACGUCAACUAGCUGAUCCUGAAGUACCUCUUGGUGUUUCACCACCCAAGUGUCCUUCUAGUACUGGUACAUCAUUACCAAGCCCACAACCAGGUCCAUCUAAUACAUCGCUUUGUUCCACCACGAUGUUUUCGUCUAAUAAUGCUACGUCUCCAAUUGCCUCUCCAUCAACAAAUGGUAACAUAUUAUUUGGUACAAUUGCAACAUGUCAGUUGAAAUCGAAUCUUUCUGCGUCAAUGGAAACACAUACUAGAAAUGAAUUAAAUUCUACUGUAGAUGAUGUAACUACACCACAAAGUGCUCAUUUGAGAAUUGGAGAUGUUUUGAAAAGAAAACGACAAAAUAAAAAAGGUCGAUUUUCUAGACUAGGCAGUACUACACCUCAACAAACUCAACAACCUGAAUCUCUAUUUACUGGUUUUGCUCCUAAAAAUAAUCGUUUCUUAGGAAAUCUUAAUCCUGCUAGAUGGGGUCGAAAAUCAUCAUCUUCAAAUUCUGCUAAUGAUAAAAGAGAUACGAGUUCAUCAACAAGUUUAUCAAAACCACCUAGUAAUUCAAGUCUAACAGGAGGAAAUAGAGAUAAAGCUAAAGCAUGGGUACGUGAACAGGCUGCUCAAUUUUUAGCACGAUAUCAGGAUGAUGCUCCAUGCACGCAUCCUGCAAUGACAGUUCUUUCCAGACUUACUGCUGCCAUACAACGGUUACAAUCUAAUGAAUUGGAUGAAAUGUUAUCGGCACUUACCGAGUUAAGAGAUAUAGUACUUGAAAGUGAUAUAUCUCCGUUUGAAAUGAAUUAUAGUGGUCUUAUCAAAGCUCUGCUCAACUACCUCACUACUACAGAUGCCCCUGGUAAUCGUUACGAUCGCCUUCGCAUGUUCUGGAAAUUGUUUGCAGAAUCAACUAUGCAUCAGGAUAACAAUAUUACUGAUCUUAAUCCUGGAGCAUUUGGUGCUCUAGUAGCAAAAUUAAACAGUUGUGUUGCACAGUUGGAACAAUUUCCUGUAAAAGUACACGAUUUACCGGCAGGAUCUGGUGCUGGUCGUGGAGGCACUAGUGCUCUUAAAUUUUUCAAUACACAUCAACUCAAGUGUAAUCUUCAACGACAUCCAGAUUGUAAUAAUUUAAAACAAUGGAAAGGGGGUACUGUUAAAAUAGAUCCUCUUGCAUUAGUGCAAGCAAUUGAACGUUAUUUAAUGGUUCGUGGGUAUGGUAGAAUACGAGAAGCAGAAUCUAUGGUUAGUGACGACGAUAAUAGUGAAGAUGAUAUAGAUGAUACAUUGGCAGCAGUAGUUAUAAGUCAAGGAUCAGCAAAACAUAAACUUCAAUUUUUAAUUGGAGAUGAAGUACUGCCUUUUAAUAUGACUGUUUAUCAAGCUGUAAGACAAUUUGGUUGUACUGGAAUGGAUCAUUCAGAAGCAGAAGCUGAUGGUGAACCACCACUUGGUCAUGAUGCUGUAUGGGUACAAACUCACACAAUUUAUUACAGACCUGUACCAGAAGAAGAAACUAUAACAUCACCAAAACCAGGAUCAAGUUCACAGAGUAGUAGCCGCAAAGGCAAAGGAAAAAGUACAAAGAUCAGUUCAAAACGAAAAGAAGAUAGUUUGUGGCUUGAAGGAACAGUUCCUCCGCAACGUUGUCCACUUGAUCCUUAUCUGUCACCUACCUUGCCAUCUUCGGUUACUAUUACUGAUGCCUCAUUGGAUGGUUUAUGUUUGCUACGUCUUUUACAUGCUUUAAAUCGUCAUUGGGGUGUUUUAUUUCCUCAUUUGAAGGGUUUAAGUUUACUUUCUCCACAAGAUUUUAUUAAUAAUAAAAUAGCCGCAAAAGCAAGUCGGCAGCUACAAGAUCCUUUAGUGAUUAUGACUGGAAACUUACCUCUAUGGUUACAACAAAUUGCUACAGUAUGUCCAUUCUUAUUUCCAUUUGAAACGAGACAAUUAUUACUCUAUGCAACAUCGUUUGAUAGAGAUAGAGCUUUACAACGUCUCUUAGAUUCCGCUCCAGAAUUAUCGGGAUCGGAUAGCCAAGAACGCGUUACUCCACGUUUAGAACGAAGAAAAAGAACCAUUUCCAGAACGGAUAUUCUCAAACAAGCAGAAUUAGUUAUACAAGAUUUAGCAUCUAGCAAAGCCUUACUUGAAGUGCAAUAUGUUAAUGAGGUUGGUACCGGUUUAGGUCCAACAUUGGAAUUUUAUGCUCUAGUCUCUCAGGAAUUACAGCGUGCUGAUCUUGAUCUUUGGCAUGGUAGUUCAAGUCCUACUGAAGCAGGAUACGUUAAUGCUCCACAAGGACUUUUUCCAAUGCCAAUUUCAUGGAGUACUAAAGUAUCCCAUCUUGCAAAACUUAAAACAAAAUUUAAGUUUCUUGGAAAGUUUAUGGCGAAAGCGAUAUAUGAUUCUAGAAUGUUGGAUUUACCAUUCAGUUUAACUUUCUAUCGUUGGUUAUUGGGAGAAGAACAUAUGCUAACAUUAGCUGAUUUAGCACAUGUAUGUCCUGAUGUACAUCGAACUCUUACUAGAUUACAGCAAGUUAUUAGACAAAAGGAAACAAUUGAGAAAGAUCAAAUAUUAAGACCACAUGAAAAAGCACAACUAAUAGAGUCACUAAAUUUAGAUGGAUGUCUAAUUUCCGAUCUUGGUCUUGUUUUCGAAUUACCGGGUUAUGAAAAUAUCGAAUUAAGGAAAGGCGGAAGUGAAAUACCUGUUACUACUUAUAACCUAGAUCAAUACAUCAAGUUGGUGGUACAUUGGUUCUUAUACGAAGGUGUCUUCAGACAAAUGGAAGCAUUUAGGGAAGGAUUUGAAUCUGUUUUUCCACCAUCACAAUUAAGAUUAUUCUUUCCUGAAGAACUGGAAGCUGUGUUCUGUGGACAUGCACAAUCAGGUGGACAAUGGGAUGUGAAAACACUUUCGGAAUGCUGUAGGACUGAUCAUGGUUAUACACCAGAUUCUCGUGCUAUUCGUUUUCUAUUUGAAGUUAUGUCAAAAUAUAAUAGUGAAGAACAAAGGCAGUUCGUUCAAUUUGUUACAGGUUCACCUCGAUUACCAGUAGGAGGUUUCAAGAGUUUAACACCGCCGUUAACAAUAGUGCGUAAAACGUUCGAUCCAUCUAUGAAAACAGACGAUUUCUUACCAUCCGUAAUGACUUGUGUUAAUUACUUAAAACUGCCUGAUUAUACAACAUUAGAAAUAAUGCGGGAAAAGUUGCGAAUAGCUGCACAAGAAGGACAACAUUCGUUCCACCUUUCCUAGAAACGGAUGGAAAACCGGCGCGCCAUUUGCUCUUUUGCUAUCGUAUUGUCCAGGUAAGAUAGUCCAAUUAAUACUUUACUUAGCUGUAUAAGAAAGCAGCCAAUCAUCAAAUCAAGUCAUCAUAAUGAUACAUGAAUCGAAGAAAAUUCUUAUAUCCACUUAUUUACAGGCAAAGUAUCUAUUUAUGAAACAUGUACGACAACUGUAUAAUACGAAAUAGAAUGGAUAUAAAAAUCAGCGAAGCUGGUGUAUCAAAUGGAUUAUACAAGGUACAUUACUUUCUUAUAUUUCUGUAGAAAUGUGAUUCUAUACAAAAAUUAUGAAAAUAUGAAUUGAUCACAAAUAGAAAAGAAAAUAAUUGACUAUUUGUUUUACAUUUAUAUUGUGUAUUAUUACUUGAAAUGAUCAAUAUAUACAUACAUCACUUUUGAUUUUUAUUUUUAUAUAUAUGGAACUUAAUUGAUAAAUUAGCGAUUAAAUUAAUUGGUAUUAAAUCAUUAUUUCUCGUUUUAAUUUUUAAAAUAAAAUUAAUAAGAUUACUUCAAAACUUUGUUCCAUCCUUGAAAUAUUUUUUUUAGCAUUAUACAAAAUUUCUUUUCUGACAAUCUACGAUAUUCUUAUACUUCAUAAUUUUUAUGUAUUUUAUGAUAAAACAUAAAACAUGUUGUAUUUUUGCAUUACAUUUCUAAUAACGAAUAACAAUAAUGAAUAGUUGAUAAUAUAUACAUAAUGUAGAAGAAAAGUCAUUCUACACUAUGAAAUAUGCAAUUAGAAAUACAAAUAUAAUGU
Molecule: RNA transcript, 7455 nt
Organism: Apis mellifera (honey bee)
Lineage: Eukaryota; Metazoa; Arthropoda; Insecta; Hymenoptera; Apidae
Gene: ctrip
Gene name: E3 ubiquitin-protein ligase TRIP12
Exons: 26
Source: RefSeq, a predicted model, not a curated record